GAUGAACGCUGGCGGCGUGCCUAAUACAUGCAAGUCGAGCGAACGGACGAGAAACUUGCUUCACUGAUGUUAGCGGCGGACGGGUGAGUAACACGUGGAUAACCUACCUAUAAGACUGGGAUAACUUCGGGAAACCGGAGCUAAUACCGGAUAAUAUUUUGAACCGCAUGGUUCAAAAGUGAAAGACGGUCUUGCUGUCACUUAUAGAUGGAUCCGCGCUGCAGUAGCUAGUUGGUAAGGUAACGGCUUACCAAGGCAACGAUGCAUAGCCGACCUGCGAGGGUGAUCGGCCACACUGCAACAGAGACACGGACCAGACUCCUACGGGAGGCAGCAGUAGGGAGUCUUACGCAGUGGGCGAAAUCCUGACGGAGCAACGCCGCGUGGGUGAUGAUGCCCUUCGGAUCGUAAGACUCUGUUAUUAGGGAAGAAAAUAUGUGUAAGUAACUGUGCACAUCCUGACGGUAACUGAUCAGAAAGCCACGGCUAACUACGUG
This 497-nucleotide ribosomal RNA is filed under the name uncultured bacterium. RNAcentral's name for it is "partial 16S ribosomal RNA". It matches the Rfam family "Bacterial small subunit ribosomal RNA", at positions 28 to 507 of the family's 1533-position model. The record is from RNAcentral.